CCUACGGGUGGCGGCAGUGGGGAAUAUUGGGCAAUGGGCGCAAGCCUGACCCAGCAACGCCGCGGGAAGGAAGAAGGCUUUCGGGUUGUAAACUUCUGGUAAGAGGGAAGAGCAGAAGACGGUACCUCUUGAAUAAGCCACGGCUAACUACGUGCCAGCAGCCGCGGUAAUACGUAGGUGGCAAGCGUUGUCCGGAUUUACUGGGUGGAAAGGGCGGGCAGCCGGGAAGACAAGUCAGAUGGGAAAUCCCGCGGCUCAACCGCGGAACUGCAUUUGAAACUGUUUUUCUUGAGUACCGGAGAGGUCCUCGGACUUCCUUGUGUAGCGGUGUCCUGCGUAGCUCUCAGG
This 348-nucleotide ribosomal RNA is filed under the name uncultured bacterium. RNAcentral describes it as "partial 16S ribosomal RNA". It matches the Rfam family "Bacterial small subunit ribosomal RNA", at positions 338 to 701 of the family's 1533-position model. The record is from RNAcentral.